GACGGAGGUCCCGAGCGUUGUUCGGAAUUAUUGGGCUUAAAGCGCGUGUAGGCGGGAUGGCAAGUACCUUGGGAAAUCCCCGGACUCAAUCCGGGAACUGCUUGGUAUACUGCCGUUCUCGAGGCAGGUAGGGGUCACUGGAACCUUAGGUGGAGCGGUGAAAUGCGUAGAUAUCUAAGGGAACGCCUGUGGCGAAAGCGGGUGACUGGGCCUGUCCUGACGCUGAGACGCGAAAGCGUAGGGAGCAAACGGG
RNAcentral lists this ribosomal RNA (253 nucleotides) under uncultured bacterium. RNAcentral's name for it is "partial 16S ribosomal RNA". It matches the Rfam family "Bacterial small subunit ribosomal RNA", at positions 524 to 776 of the family's 1533-position model. The record is from RNAcentral.